Molecule: ribosomal RNA, 232 nt
Filed under: Escherichia coli
Lineage: Bacteria; Pseudomonadati; Pseudomonadota; Gammaproteobacteria; Enterobacterales; Enterobacteriaceae
Description: partial 23S ribosomal RNA
Rfam family: Bacterial large subunit ribosomal RNA
Source: RNAcentral
AGAUUAAGUUAUUAAGGGCGCACGGUGGAUGCCUUGGCACUAGAAGCCGAUGAAGGACGUUACUAACGACGAUAUGCUUUGGGGAGCUGUAAGUAAGCUUUGAUCCAGAGAUUUCCGAAUGGGGAAACCCAGCAUGAGUUAUGUCAUGUUAUCGAUAUGUGAAUACAUAGCAUAUCAGAAGGCACACCCGGAGAACUGAAACAUCUUAGUACCCGGAGGAAGAGAAAGAAAA